GACGAACGCUGGCGGCAUGCCUAAUACAUGCAAGUCGAGCGAACAGAUGAAGUGCUUGCACUUCUGACGUUAGCGGCGAACGGGUGAGUAACACGUAAGGAAUCUACCUAUAAGCGGGGGAUAACAUUCGGAAACGGGUGCUAAUACCGCAUAAUAUCUUCUUCCGCAUGGAAGGAGAUUGAAAGACGGCUCUGCUGUCACUUAUAGAUGACCUUGCGGUGCAUUAGUUAGUUGGUGGGGUAACGGCCUACCAAGACGAUGAUGCAUAGCCGACCUGCGAGGGUGAUCGGCCACAUUGGGACUGAGACACGGCCCAAACUCCUACGGGAGGCAGCAGUAGGGAAUCUUCCGCAAUGGGCGAAAGCCUGACGGAGCAAUGCCGCGUGAGUGAAGAAGGCCUUCGGGUCGUAAAACUCUGUUAUAAGAGAAGAACAAAUUGUAGAGUAACUGCUACAGUCUUGACGGUAUCUUAUCAGAAAGCCACGGCUAACUACGUGCCAGCAGCCGCCGCGG
RNAcentral lists this ribosomal RNA (513 nucleotides) under uncultured bacterium. Its description in RNAcentral is "partial 16S ribosomal RNA". It matches the Rfam family "Bacterial small subunit ribosomal RNA", at positions 28 to 523 of the family's 1533-position model. The record is from RNAcentral.